RNAcentral lists this ribosomal RNA (325 nucleotides) under uncultured bacterium. RNAcentral's name for it is "bacterial SSU rRNA". It matches the Rfam family "Bacterial small subunit ribosomal RNA", at positions 1001 to 1325 of the family's 1533-position model. The record is from RNAcentral.
UGUAAUGGAGAGGGUGUCCGCAAGGAAAUGUAGUGAGAGGUGCUGCAUGGCUGUCGUCAGCUCGUGUUGUGAAAUGUUGGGUUAAGUCUCGCAACGAGCGCAACCCCUAUCGUCUGUUGCCAGCAUUAAGUUGGGCACUCUGACGAGACUGCCUGGGUUAACCAGGAGGAAGGUGGGGAUGACGUCAAGUCCUCAUGGCCCUUAUGUCUAGGGCUACACACGUAAUACAAUGGCGCGUACAAAGGGAAGCGAACUCGCAAGGGGGAGCAAAUCUCAAAAAGCGCGCCUCAGUUCGGAUUGAAGUCUGCAACUCGACUUCAUGAAG